GGGCCUGUGGUGGAACUGGCAUACACAAUCGGUUUAAGCCCGAUUAUUUUGAAGGUUCGAAUCCUUCCAGGCGCA
RNAcentral lists this transfer RNA (75 nucleotides) under marine sediment metagenome. Its description in RNAcentral is "tRNA-Leu". It matches the Rfam family "tRNA". Rfam says of the family: Transfer RNA (tRNA) molecules are approximately 80 nucleotides in length. Their secondary structure includes four short double-helical elements and three loops (D, anti-codon, and T loops). The record is from RNAcentral.